This 260-nucleotide ribosomal RNA is filed under the name uncultured bacterium. Its description in RNAcentral is "partial 16S ribosomal RNA". It matches the Rfam family "Bacterial small subunit ribosomal RNA", at positions 92 to 353 of the family's 1533-position model. The record is from RNAcentral.
CGGGUGGCGGACGGGUGAGUAAUGUCUGGGAAACUGCCUGAUGGAGGGGGAUAACUACUGGAAACGGUAGCUAAUACCGCAUAACGUCGCAAGACCAAAGAGGGGGACCUUCGGGCCUCUUGCCAUCGGAUGUGCCCAGAUGGGAUUAGCUAGUAGGUGGGGUAACGGCUCACCUAGGCGACGAUCCCUAGCUGGUCUGAGAGGAUGACCAGCCACACUGGAACUGAGACACGGUCCAGACUCCUACGGGAGGCAGCAUG